UGGGGAAUAUUGCACAAUGGGCGGAAGCCUGAUGCAGCGACGCCGCGUGGGGGAUGAAGGCCUUCGGGUUGUAAACUCCUUUCGACAGGGACGAAGCAUUUGUGUCGGCACCUGUACAACAAGCACCGGCUAACUACGUGCCAGCAGCCGCGCUAGUACGCAGGGUGCGUGCUUCGUCCGGAAUUACUGUGCGUACAGAGCCCGUAGGUGGUUUGUUGCGUUGUCUGCGAAAUUUCGGGGCUUAACUCCGGGCGUGCAGGUGAUACGGGCUGACUUGGGUGCUGUAGGGGGGACUGGAGUUCCUGGGGUAGCGGUGAAAUGCGCAGAUAUCAGGAGGAACACCGAUGGCGAAGGCAGGUCUCUGGGCAGUCACUGACGCUGAGGAGCGAAAGCGAGGGUAGCGAACAGG
This 409-nucleotide ribosomal RNA is filed under the name bacterium. Its description in RNAcentral is "partial 16S ribosomal RNA". It matches the Rfam family "Bacterial small subunit ribosomal RNA", at positions 355 to 776 of the family's 1533-position model. The record is from RNAcentral.